GUUUGCCAGAUGUUUGAACUCUGGUGAACUGCUGUUCGCUUGUCAGGCUGGCAAUGAGGAGCGAACAAAUACCGCGCUACUCAGCGUCUUCCCCCCUGAGCUGCCAGAGAAUUUCAAACCGCUUCAAAUGCUGGAGCCAAGGGAUCUGCUGAGAAAGAAUAAGGUAUGUUCCUAAUGAGAUCAGUGAGCCAUUACUUUACUUGGAAAGCAACCUUAUUUUUUAUUUUGUGCCCUGUGUGUGAGAGAGAGAGAACUGAAGGUUUGGCAUCAGAGGAACCAAGAAAGGAAGAGACAAUAGAGACAGAGAGUGAAAGAGAGAGAGAAAGAGGCCUCAACAGGACAACUCUUUCAUGGAUUUCCUCUCUUCCUUUAGGCACUGAUAAGCAGAGGAGGGAAUGGGAUGGAUUAACAAAUGGAACGAAUCUUUCACACUUCUGACACAGGUUAAUUUUGUUUCUUGUUCUUCACUGGCUUACUGCUGUCUACUUAAAAGUAUGGCGUCUACCUACUGGUCUUUGUGAGUGUCAUGGCAACUAGAAUUAUUGAAUCCAUUUAGAAUACCAUGGAAUCAUAGAAAUUAGAAAAUGCCUUUGAUAUAUUUCUGAGUGCUUUGUCUAAUCCAUUUCCAAAUGACUCAUAGGAUGGGACUAACUAUUUCCUGAGGACACUAUUUCAUGCUCUAACAGAUCUCACCAUUACAAGUGUUUUCCUGAUAUUCAGCCUGUUUUAAAUUUUCCCUUAACUAAUUUAAUCCCUUCGAUCAUCCUAAACAAUUCCUCUCUCCCCUUGAUCUUUAACUUUUUCAAAUAUAUGAAGACACCAUAAGAACCAAAUUUUGAUAUCCAUUAGACUGCUGUAAAUCUGGAGUAACUAAAGUGAGUAAC
This 884-nucleotide long non-coding RNA is filed under the name Chrysemys picta bellii (western painted turtle). RNAcentral's name for it is "lncRNA (ENSCPBG00000012549.1)". The record is from RNAcentral. Lineage: Eukaryota; Metazoa; Chordata; Testudines; Emydidae.